Molecule: long non-coding RNA, 714 nt
Organism: Tupaia belangeri chinensis (Chinese tree shrew)
Lineage: Eukaryota; Metazoa; Chordata; Mammalia; Scandentia; Tupaiidae
Exons: 3
Source: RefSeq, a predicted model, not a curated record
AAAAGAAGAAAGAAAAAUGCAUGAAAGAUGGAAGAAGCAAAGAGAUAUACAAAUGGCCAAAAAGCACGUGAAAAAUGUCCCACAUCGCAGUCAAGGGGCAGCUCUGAACCACGGUGGGCACACACACCUUUCAGCAAUUAAAAAGAAAGCGUAAACAGAAAUUCCUGUGCGUUGCUGAUGGCUAUGUAGAUGGUGCAGCUACUGUGAGAAACAGCAGUCCCUCAGAAACCAGAAACAGAAUGACCGUAUAGCCCUCCAAUUCCAGCGCGACAUGUUCCUGAGAGCUCAAGUCGGGUCUUGACAGGGUUCAUACAGCUCCUGUCUCCUCCAGCUAUCCAGGGCAAGCAUCCUCGGGAUGGAAACAACCUCCCCGACCAUGUUUUUACUGGCUACGUUGUGUGUGUCCCGGAGCACGUCCUGCAUGCUGCUGCGUGUCCCGGAGCACGUCCUGCAUGCUGCUGCGUGUCCCGGAGCACGUCCUGCAUGCUGCUGUGUGUCCCGAAGCACGUCCCGCAUGCUGCUACGUGUCCCAAAGUACGUCCCGCAUGCUGCUGUGUGUCCCGCACGCUGUCUUAGCUCACCCACGUACUAAGGAAUCUCAGUCUUCAGUCUCACAGAGAAAGCUACAAUAAAUACCUUCACAGUUAAACUCUGUGCAUUCUUGUUUCUGUAUGUUUAUUUUUGCCAUAGGACUUCUGUGCUCACUUGAGAGAG